CUGGAUGCCGCCCUCGUAGAGCUUGAUGAUGUCCUUGAAGGAGUUGAACUCGCCGGGCGACAGGUCGACGUAGGUGCGGAUCGCCGGGAUGACGGCGUUCACGAGCGCCUUGAUCGCGUAGCCGUAGAAGUCCGACUUCUUGAUGUGGCCGAAACGCUCGUCGCGCGGCACGUAGACGUCGCCCUCGACCACCGUCAGCCUUCUCUCGCUGUUGGGGUCUGUCGUCGUCGUGUCAUCAUCAAAAUUAAGUUAAAAUUGCUGCCGGCCGGCGUCCGUAGGUUAAAAUUAACUUAAAAACGGGGAAGAAAACGAAGGAAAGGGAUCGGAGGACACGCACCGGUUCUGGUGGGUUUCCGCCCGGUGCGGCAGCGGCGCGGGUAGGGGAGCUCCUUGUUGCCGCCGAGGACGGGCCGCGGGUUGCCGCUGUCAGGCAGGCCGAGGUCGUUGUAGACGUCGUAGCGGUAGACGCGGUCAUGCUCCUUGUACGGGCCUUGCUGGUCGUCGCCCCUCAGGUUCCGGAGCUCGUCGUCGCGGUAAGGCUUGAGCGCCGCCGGCAUCUGGCUGGGCAGGUACGUCUGUUCGUGCAGAGAGGAGAGAAUUCAUGUCAAGAGACUCUGCUCAGAUCCUUGGUUUGCUGACGAACAUUGGAAUAAUGGGCGGCGCGCUACUCACGUCGUUGGAGAAGAAGACGCGGUUGUAGCGGUACUUGGACUGCGGGUAGAUCCAUGAGUUGGCGACGAAGACGACGGUGCCGUGGCCGGGGACGUCGUCGAGGGUGAUGGUCUUGAGGAAGAACUCGGAGGCGUGGUUGUUCUUGACGAUGAUGGCGCCUGGAAUGCCCUGCUUCUCCACCUCCCAGUCGAAGGUGACGUGGAACUUGUUCUCGCCGGACAGAAGCGGCGGCGGGUUCAGCAGCCACUUCUCCAGGCUCGCCUCCGCGCCCACCUUCCCGCGGUUGCCAUUGUCUGCACGCGCGCGCCACAGUACCAUGGAUUCAGAGUCCCACAGACGACCAACGUGUAAAAUGUGCGCUCCUAAUAUGUUAAUAAAAAGCAUUAUCCGAUCUUUUUUUUGCCUAGAUCCGGUUUACUAUACUAAUAAGUAGAUUUAAAGUGGAUUGAUCUUCGUUUUCGUCAUAUUAUAUUGUUUUUGAAAACGACAUUUUUUUUCACUCUGUUGUUAGUUGUUACUGAUGCAUGCAAGAGAACUGAGAGGGAGAGAAUUAAGGAAGUCCGGCAGGGGAGGGAGGGUGCUGUCUGUGCUCACUGGGGUCGACGACGGUGGAGCUGAUAAGCUGGCAGGUGACGCCGCGUCCGAGGAACUCGCCAACGCCGUCGAGGAGGGAGCCGGCGAUGCUGGUGACGUCCAAGCCGAGCACGGUCUUGCGCACGAGCACCACGUUGCCCUUGAGCUGCGCAUGCUUGUUGCUGCCCGUGAUGUCUCCGAUUAUCUUUCCGAUCAUCUUCGGUUCUACCGGCGGAGCUAACUGCAAACUGCUACUUGUUCCUUGGAGUGGGAGUGGCUAGCAGCUGUGGGUAUUGGCUGUGUGAUGAGUGUGAGUGAGUGAUGGCUGAGCGGGCAGGCCAGCUAUUUAUAGAGCGGGAGACACAGCUGGUGGCUCAGGAAGAUAUAUUGAAGUCGUCGACUGUUAUUAGAAACAAAACGUGUAUCACGUUGCCGUGUUUGAACUACUCCGAUCCCACGGUAAAACAUAUAUACUUUCAUCAGAGAAAGUUAUGUUUUUGUAAAGCUUGACCAAUGUUUAGUAAAAGUAUUUGAGUUUGAGACUUAUAACUUGGAUCAAUAGAUCUGUGUUCGAAUGCCUUUAAAGUAAUAUUGGUUUUCUUUAGCAAUUGAUGAUAUAAUAAGAGAAAUUAAGGGUCGAAAUAUAUGUCAUUUCACUUUUGCAUGUCUAGUACAAACACAUAGUGGAUGUUGGUGAAACUUGUAAGACUAUCCCCACACAAAUAGCACAGAUGACUAGUUUCUUUCCAUUACAAUAUUCAGGUUUUUCUUGAAAAUAUUUUUCAUUUAUAGUUUUUUUGUUUCAUUGUAUCAUUUCUGUACAUACACCUGUUGCGUCUAUGGGCAUGAACUAUGUACAGAUAUCAUUGAUCAAUACCUUGGCUUAAACUUAUUAUCAUCUCUCUUAUCUUCCAUUUCUUCUCACUCCAGUCACAUGGCUAUACAAUUUCUAUCAAAGCCAAAUUAAGGUACUUGAUAAAACCAUGACUUAAGUCUUCUUGGCCCUCUUCUAAAUGUAAUUUUUGAACUAUCUUGUGCGUUUUUAUUAUGGAGUCAUGGUUACCUUUUUUUUUCGCGAUGCAACUCUGUCUAUUGGAGCCAGUACUACCUCAAGUAGUUGCAGACCAACCCUUUCAUUGCGCCAACAUCCAUCCGUGCCUCAAGUCUCUCCCCCCCCCCCCCCCCCCCCAAAAAAAAAAACCGUUGAACAAUCAUUGGUGAUCUACUGAGAUCAGGCAUGUAGCAUGUUACCCAUGCGCACUCUACAAGUCAUCGGAAAUGAUAUGACCACACCAUAUUUGUUUUCACUUAGGCCCUGUUUAGUUCUCCACCCAAAAAUUUUUCAUCCAUCCCAUCGAAUCUUUAGACACAUGCAUGGAACAUUAAAUGUAGAUAAAAAAAUAAACUAAUAACACAGUUUAGUUGAGAAUCGCGAGACGAAUCUUUUAAGCCUAGUUACUCCAUGAUUAGCCUUAAGUGCUACAGUAACCCACAUAUGCUAAUGAUAGAUUAAUUAUGCUUAAUAAAUUUGUCUUGCAGUUUCCUGACGAGCUAUGUAAUUUGUUUUUUUAUUAGUCUGUAAAAACCCCUCCCGACAUCCUUCCGACAUAUCCGAUGUGACAUUCAAAAAAUUUUCGUUCCCAAUCUAAACAGGCCCUUAUGACAACGUCUUGAGAAGAAAAAAAAGCUAAACGAUUUCUAUUGCGUUCCUCACGAGCUUCUCAUGCAUGAGUACGGAGGAGUAGUCAUAAUAUACAAGUAGGCGUUUGUCUUGUUAAAGUUUACUACUCGUCAUAUCGAAUGUUUGGACAUAUACAUGGAGUAUUAAAUAUAAACUAUUUACAAAAUUAAAAAGACAGCUGAAGAGUAAUUUGAGAGACGGAUCUUUUAACCCUAAUUAGUUCAUGAUUGAAUACUAAUUAUCAAAUAAGACAAAACUGCUACAGUACAUGUUAAACUUUAACAUCCCAACAAAACACCCCCUAGACCUAUUUCUCUCCAAGGUGACUGCCAUGAAAGUUAUCAGAUUGAAACAAUGAUGGUUGGAAUCGAUAAUUUGUUCGGUUAUUUUCAUUUCUAACAAUGCCAAUACUGAUGUAAAACUUAGUGGGUGUUUGGUUGAGUUGUUAAAGUUAACAGGUACUGUAACACUUUUAUGUUAUUUGACAAUUAGUGUCCAAUCAUGAACUAAUUAGGCUCAAAAGAUUCGUCCUGCAAAUUACUCUCUAGCUGUGUUUUUAGUUUCGUAAAUAGUCUAUAUUUAGUACUUCAUACAUAUAUUCAAAUAUUCAAUGUGACGGACGAUAAACUUUACCGUCUAUAACCAAACAAGCCCUUAUCAUUAGAAAGACUUGGAAAGAGCGACUCGGCGAGUAGACAUGUCGAGAUAGCAAUGCAUAGAACACCAGAUGUGGUGGAAGGUAAUGGGGGAGUGACAUGGGGAUUUAAAAUGCUUAAAAAAAAUCCUUGGCGUAUUAGUGUGUGACUUGGAUAGCUCACAUGCAUAUAUGCAAUCCUUCCCUUGGAUGAUCCUUGUAGUUUUCUUGUCUUUAUUUAUUGCCGUGACAAAAGUCCACAGUUUUAACUAAUUGAACUGUAAACUACUAUCUCUUUUCAAACCGCAUAAAUAACACAUAUAGAUACCUUAUUUUUGUUACAAUAUUUAAAUUGUUUACUUGAAAAUAAUUUGUUUUAGAUCAUUUUGUUUCUUUAUCUGUGUGUAUUGCUUCUUUCAUCAUGUGACCCCUCUCUUGUAUCCAUCAGCAAAAACCUCACAUGCCAUCGUUAAUCAAUUUUUUUUUGGUUAAAACUAGUCGACUUUCUCUCACCUUUUUUUAAUUCCUAUCUCAGUUUAUGUACUUCCAUCAAAUCAAGGUAACCUUUUGGAAACAAGCUUUAAGUUUUUUUUGGUAAACUUUAUUUUUUUAAUAAUUACAUUAUGUAGACCUCUUAUAAAUUAUUUACUUUCACCAUGUUUCUAAAGAAAGUCGUUUUGAGAUUGUCCUCGAGCAAGGGCACGUCGCCGGUGCCGCGGCUGUCCCACCUAUGGCAGUCCUCGAGCGAGUUCUGCGGCUCAUGGGCGUCGGCGGCACAACACCGUGCCUCGACGGUGGGGGCGCGGCGUUCAACUCCUCUGCCCGACACUGCUUCCGUGAACUCGCGCACGGUCACCAUUAGCUCCGGCGCCAGCUUGGCACCUACGGCCACCUCCGAGAAUCUUGUCGAACAUAGCUCGAAAGUUGGCGUCCUCGUCUACCUCGCCUCUGAGGUAAACAACAUCAUAAUCUGUGUUUACAAUUAAACUAUUGUGUUGAUUUUUUCAAAGAAAAAAACAUUGUGUUUGAAUCUAAUCUUCCAAUGGUGUAUUGAUUAAUUUCAGGUGCUGAUUCACUUUGCUUCCUUUUUGCUCGUUUGGAACGCUGCCAGGGACAACAAGAAGACGCGCAUCAUUCCCCACCACGGCGCCACGUGCUGGCGUGCUGCUGGCAAUCCAGUGAUCCACAAUGGCCCUGUUUGGAUACUCUAGCUCGGCUAGAAGUUAGAGUUAGUUUCUAGCUCAAGACUAGCCUUAAACUAGCUCUAGCCGAAGACAUGUUUGGAUGCAAGGGUUAGAAUGACAAUAUCUAAUCAUUUGACUCAUUUAAACCAUCUUUCUAUUCGGAUUUGGUGUGGCAGGCUCUCGUGUGGCCUCCCCCGCUUACAAAUGACACAAAUAAAUUAUUUUUACAAAUCAAGCAUCGAAACCAUAUUAAAUUUUAAAUUGUCCAUACAAAUGACAUGUCUCACACGAACUUACAAGUCCUCAAUCAAGUUAAACAAAAAAUUUUACACUCCAUGAAACAAAGCAUGAGCUAAUUCAUCACGGAAGGCAUUCAUGUUGACAUCUUCAAUAAGAGGUUCAUCUUCUGGCCAUGUUGAUGCCGCAGAACUAGGCAUUGGGUUAUAAUUUUCAUCCGCAUCACAGGCAGCAAAUUCUCUAUCCGCAAUUCUGCUCUCUCGAAUAAAAUUAUGAAUAGCCAUACAAGCAACAAUAAUUCUAGUUUGCUUCUCUUCUGAAAAUCUUGGCAUGUUCAACAUAAUCCUAAAUUUCAUCUUGAACACUCCAAAAGUUCGCUCAAUGACAUUUCUAACUUUGGCAUGUGCAUGGUUGAAGAUUUCUUUCAUACCUUGUUGAAAGGUCCUUGUUUAGUUUUGGUAAUUGAGUGACAACUUAGGUGGACUAAUAGUGUUUAUGUGAGAUACACAGGAGAUUAGUCCACAGGUGAUUUUGUGAUGAUGGAGGAGCUCAUUGCAUAUGAGACAUGACAUGGAGUCAUGUGACCGAGGUGGAGAAGAUCAAGAUGAGGCUUGGCUCGAUGGACCGGUUGCAAGAGUGAAGGGCAAGUCGGAGGCUUUGAAGCGAGGGACCGCGUGUGACGGUGAAGCUUGAGCAAGACUUGGCGCCGAUGGACCAAGGCAACGGUGAAGAGCAAGUGAGGUCAAGAUCGAUGAACCAAUACGGUCACGUGAUGAUAUGAAGUGGAUCAUAUCAUUUGGUGAUUGGUUGGUGCAUGUGUUGCAUCAACAUUAGAGGAGAUGGAAUGGAAAGCGCAAGGCAAAGGUAUAACCUAGGGCAUUUCCAUUUUACCGGUCAUAGGUGUGUAGAGAAGUUUAUGACCGGAUUUAGGAUAGAUGGCCGUACUAUCAAGAGGGGCAAACUUGUUUGCAUAUCGGUCAUCUAGUGCCACUUGAGCGAUCUAACUUUGCAUACGUGUUAGGAUCGAGUGGCGUGGCAAGUUGAGAGGCUAACUCCUUUGGGAAAUUGUUUGUGAAAAUGCUAACACACAUGCACAUGGUGGUGUACACUUGGUGGUGUUGGCACACUUUACAAAGGAGGUGGAGUUCCUAGGGUUGAGAGGCGUGUGGGUUCCUCUCUCCCUCCCGCCGAGCUUGCUCGGCGGGAUUCGACGCUUUUGAGAAAAUAAAGUGUAUAUUUUCUAUUGCGCCGGUGGGAAUUUUGGUGAAGUCGCGGGAGUGUUUUUCUCUCCGAGAAACACUCAACGGACGCUGAGUGCGGAGGCACCGGACGCUGGCCUCAGCGUCCGGUGUGCUUGACCCUGCUAGGGUUAAGCACCGGACGCACUCUGAGAGCGUCCGGUGGUAAGCGUCCGGUGUGAGGGGUUUUUGCAACCCUCUCUGCGCACGAGUCCGGUGAGCACCGGACCGUCCGGUGCCCAGCGUCCGGUGAGGUCGCGAGUUUGACACCUUCUCUGCGCACGAGUCCGGUGAGCACCGGACCGUCCGGUGUGGACUAGUUGAGCGUCCGGUGGUGCUGUGUCAGGCGCGAGCACGAGGUAGCCGUUGGCGGCAACGGUCGAGUUCAAACGGCUAGUGACACGUGGCAGUUAGCUGAGCACCGGACGCUGGGUGUUGAGCGUCCGGUGGCCACGUUUUUCGCCCAGUGAAGGGGCAACGGCUAGUUUCGCCCUUGGGGCUAUAAAUAGAAGUGGUGGCCGGCCUUGGCCGGUGCUGAGCACCCUUGGGACUUAGUGUCCAUGCUUGGGGAGUGCUAGGAAAGCCUCUAACUCACUUGUGCUUGCAAGAGUGCGAAUCAAUAGCGAGUGAGUGAUUCUAGUGCGUUGCAUUGAGAGAUUGCAUCGAGUGGCACUAGGUGUUCGUGUUGCAAGCCGGUGGUGCUUGUUACUCUUGGAGGUUGCCACCUCCUAGACGGCUUGGUGGCUUGUGACUCCGUCGAAGCAUGCAAGAAGAUUGUGCGGUGCUCCGGAGAAGAGAUUGUGAGGGGUACGGUGCUCACCCCGCGGGGAUCGCGAAGAGCAACUCUAGUUGAGCGAGACGUGAAGAGCGACAAGUGGUCCGGCCGGGUCAAGUGCUAGAGCUUGUGGUAAGCACUCCACGUGGGAGAGUGUGACUUGCGGGUCACCACUAGCAAGAGGACCGGCGGCAACCUUGGAGCUUGUCUCAACGGGGACGUAGCUUGGUGGCAACCAAGUGAACCUCGGGAGAAAAUCAUCGUGUCAACUUUGUUCUUCCCGUUGGUUUGCAAGUCCCUAACACAAGCUUGUAUUUACAUUCAUAUAUUUGUGCUUGUGUAGUUGCUCUUGUAAUUAGUUAGCUUGUGUAGCUUUCUAGGUACCUUCUUGCUUGUGUAGCUAGAAGUAGUUCCCCUUGCGUGACUAAUUUGGUUUGUGUAAUCUUGUUAGUCACAUUGCUUGGUUUGUGUAGCUAAGUAAGUUGCGCUCUCUAAUUUGGCAUUAGUUGCCUUGUUAUUGAGCUUGCUAGUGAGCUUAGGCUUUGUGCGAUUUGCCUCACUAGUUUGUGUAGGAGCUCCCCCGGUUUGCAAAGUACUAGUUGCAUAGGUUUGUGUGACCUUGCUCCUAGAAUUGAUUAGGUGAGCUCUUGCUAAGGUAGCACCUUGCUUGCUUGUUUAGGAUCUUUUCAAGGUGCUAGAGAACUUAGAUAGAGGGGUGUAGUCUUGGCUAGACCGAUAGCUUUAAUUCCGCAUUUGUUUCGGUUAGCCGGCGCGAUAAGUUUUAGAAAGGACUAUUCACCCCCCCCCCCCUCUAGUCCGCCAUCUCGACCCUUCACUUGUGGCGGUGGGCCAUUUCUCCAUUGCUCCACAUGGUACCUUGUACAUCUGUAUGGUGAAAGGUAGCCCGACCGGUUUGGGUACCCUGCAUCAACCACAUAAUACUUCCCUACACAUUUUCAAAGGCUCACAGUGAGAUAGAUAAACAAAUGUAAUUAGAUACAAGUUGCAAGACUGUUCAAGUAGCAAACCUGAUGGCGGAUGUGGAAAUUUGUGAUGAUGACUAGUUAUGGCAUCUUUGAAAACUCUCAUGUCGUGUGCUGAACCAGGCCAUCCCGACAACACAAAGGUAAAUCUCAUGUCGAAAUCACAAAUAGCAAGUACAUUCUGACUGGUCUCAUUGUGUCUGUUCAAGUAUGGAAUCCUCUUACUCUUAUCCACCACAACCUUCACAUGUGUCCCAUCUAUAGCUCCUAUGCACUCAUUGAAGUGUGGCUAGAAUGCUGGAUUUUCUAAAUUUGGAUGCACCUCUGAAAAUGUUGGGUCCUUGGGUUUAAUGUUGUGAUGUGCUAACCUAAGGAGACAUCUCAAAACUCUGUUAAAUGUCCUACUUACUGUCUCCAGAGACCUCCUAAAACGAUUAUCAGCCUGUCUAACUGACUGUGGUGCACCAACAAUCCAUAAAAACAUAGCAAGAGCCUCUACAGAUGUCAUUUCCUUAGUGGACUUCAACCCAUACCUCUCAACCAAAGUAUUAUGUAGCCUGUAAAAUAAAGGUCUCUCAACCCUAAACAAGUUGUAACAUUGGGUAUCUCGGGAUAGUGUCUCAUGCACCCAAUCCAAACCAGAAUCCCCAGUGACUCACUUAGGUAGUUUCAUGAAAUAGUUAUCAGAGUACAUACCCAAGAUAUGAACCAACUGCAGAAUCAAAUUUUGUUGCUGCAUCAAAUUGUUGUGGCACAUGGAUAUAAUUUCAUCCUCACUUGAGUUGCCUCCAUCAUCUUGUUCUUCCUCACUUGAGUUCCCUCCAUCAUCUUCUUCCUGCUUGAUUUAUGUAAAAAAAACUAUCAGCACAUACCAUAAAGGUUCAUGGAUAAAUUUAAAUAGGUUCAGCACUUGACAUCAUAGCUCAUGGAUAAAUUCAAGAAAUUAAUACUCCAACACUUGACAUCAUAGCUCAUGGAUGAAUUUAAAUAGGUUCAGCACAUAGCAUAAAGGUUUAUUACACCACAAAGCAAAUAGUUCAACGCCUCACACACAGAUAUAGGUUCAACACAUAACAUAAAGGUUUAUUACAGCACAUAGUUCAACGCCUCACUACUCCAUAUUGUUGUCAGUGCACCAUUUCUUGAAGUAACCCAACCUAAGCUCAGGAGUUAACUGGCCACAAAAGAACUCCCUUUGGUACUCUGUUGCAAACAACUUUGACAUAGCAUACACGUUGUCCACGGUUUUCUCAACGCCACACUCAAAUGCAAGCUCCUGACACAUCUUGACAGAAAAUGCAGCCUUCUCAUUUGCACGUUUCUGUAUUUGCUUAGUGUUCGCUGCAACAGACUCUUUGAAAGUACUGGCUAUCUCCUUCACAAUCUUGACCAUUGGGCUCUUGGUCCUCUUCACUGGACUGGUCAAAGUGCUUGUAGUGCUGCUGAAUGCCCUCUUGCCUUUCUGGCUCCUCUGACUGCUUCUAGUAGUAGGUGUUCCUUCAAACCCUUCCUCUUCAUUUUCUGUUCCUGCAUCUUGGCCCUCAUUGUCACCAUAAUCAUCUCCAGGAACAAAGGCUGUGGUUCCAUCCACAGUGUAGCCUCUGAAUAGUUCAUCAAGCAAAUCCUCGUUUCCUGGAGGGCUGGUCAACAACUUCUUUAGGUAAGGUUUUUUCUGUUAAGAUAUGAGAGCAAAAAAACAUGAUCAGAAACUAGUUCAGUAGAUUUUGCACAAUACACAUUUUACAAGGAAACACUAUACCUCUGUGUGUGUUUGCCAGAAAUCAUGAUCCGCAUCAAUAGAUCCAUCUGGUUUCCUCCCCAACCCUGUGUGCACUUGCAAGUACCGCCAGAAGGCAUGGGUGUUUCUGAGCACGCCUAUUUGGUUCUUCACUUGUCCACGGCUGUACACCAAACCCCUUCUAGCAAGUAAGCCAUCGACAACAGCUUGGUACCCUUCACCACUCAUUUGUGAACCAGUGUACGUUCCUGCUCUGCGUUGCUCUAUACACAAUUCUAACAAGCAAGCAUUAUUUGCAUCAUUCCAUUGGGCUCGACUGGAGUGGCUCACCGGAGGACCGCCGGAGCUCCCUAACUCCUCCCCAUCAUCCUCCAUAGCUGCAUCAUGGUUGAAGAAGGGAGUGCUGGAGGCAGUUGGUUGCCCACGGACGGCGCGAGUGCUCGUUGUGGUGCUCGGUGCCCUCGUUCCUCGGGGGCGAGGUCCGCUGGGGAUGCGUUGGCCGGUGCUGCCACGGGGCACCGUGUUGGCGCGCUGGGGACGCCGGCCUGGUGUUGCGGAGGCCGAGUUGGCGCGCUGCCGAACGACGCCGCCCGCCGAGGUUCCGCAUCCGCGACCGGCUGCCGCCGAGGAGGAGCCACCAAAUUGCAGUUGACGGGCGUAGGGUGCUGCCGGAGUCGCCGUCCUGUCUCCUGCUCCGACGCGUGGUGGGCGAUAUGGAGGGAGCCCGGUGCCCCUGACGCGGACAGGGGUGAGGUCGCUGUCGUCGCGGAGGAUGUCACCGUACAGCUGAAGCCCCGGAAAAUCCUCCUCCGCCGGCACUUGCGAGUUCAGGUCAAAGGCGUCGUGGCUAGACGACCUUCCCGGAACUUGCGAGCACCAGGAGAAGUCGUCUCCGUCCAUGGCGCACUUCUCCUGCAUAGAAGAGGCGACUGUUAGUACGAGCAGAGAGGGCGAGCAGGGUACGCGGCGAGGGCGACCAGGAGGAUGAGCAGAGAUGGCGCGGUCGAACCUCGGCGGGGGAACAGAGCUGCUGGCGGCGGCGACCAAGAAGAGGAUUAGGUUUUCCAGUGGCUGGUGGCGGCGGCCAAGAAGCUCGCGUGCGGCGUGCGGCCAGGAAGGGGAUCAGGUGUGGGCUGGAUGAGAACUAGCCCAAAUAAUCACCCCUUUGGAGGGAUAGUUUUUUUUAUGGGCUAGUUGCAAAAAAAAACUAACUCUAGCCCUCCUGUUUGGCUACUAUGGGCUAGUUGAGCCCAAACUAGCUCUUUCCCUAAGAUCCAAACAGGGCCAAUGACGAGGAGCUAGGGAAGCUGCUGGCCAGCGUCACCAUCGUGUACGGCGUGCUGGUGCCCAAGAAGAUGGAGAAAGGUGGUGGCGUCGGUGAUGGUUGUGGCCGUGUGAGCAGCUGUGAACGCGGUGGCAGAGCUCGAGCACGGCAAUGGCGAGUCGAGUGCGACGGCCUCACAGAGUAGCGUGGAGCGCCACCGCAGGCGGCACCGUGGCCGCGGCCGCGAGUCCCCGGUCACGCUCAUGGCUGACCACGAUGCGCUCCUCCGUUGAGGCAAAGCGCGCGGCCGCGGGCGCUCCGCCUCGCGUACACGCCGUGUAUUCCUGUACGCAUACGUGGCUUACAGCAGGGCCAUAUACACAAGAGGAGUAGAAAAUAGUAUAUGGAUUGAAGGAAAUAUAAAACUAUAAUAGCAUUUUUUUAAACAGUAUUCCUAUGUGUCAACCGCCGGUUAAUUUGGGAACGUCUCUCAACUGUUUUUUAGCCGUCGGAUGGCGUCUGAUCCGUUUACUCGAGCGAACCGCGUAGUUCCAAGAAUCUUGAGGGAGAUGGCGUUUACAAUUUGGGAUGGCGGAGUUUUUUUUUUUUUAACCGUGUCUAUGUCAAAACGAUAUUUUGAGGGAGUUGUUCCCUGGCCAACUAAAACACCUUUUGUCGUUUUAGAUAACGCCAGAUUGAACGUGUUCAUGUCCAUCGUGCGCAGAUGAUAAUCACCUCCACCUACCGGCGCGAGCAGUAGCCAGUUCGUGUUCCACGGACCACGAGUACGUGGCUACGCGCUGCCGCUGCAUGGCCUGGAACUGUAGCCCAUACUGAUCAAUCAAUGAAUUAGCAAGUGGCUCGAUAAAUUACUCCAUCCCUACUCGAAUAAUUCCAUAAUUUUAGAGUUAGCGUAAGUUAAACAUUUUUCAUUUCAAUCAAAUUUAUAUAAAAGGUUCCUAAGACUUACUCCCUCCAAUCCUAAAUAUCUGUCGCUAUUAGUGUGAGUAUCACAAGUUUAACUCGAUUGGUAAAAAAUACGUACAAUAUUUAUAUAUUUAAAUAAAUUUAUUAAAAACUAGAUUUAAAGAUCUUUUAAAUGCUAUUAAUUAUGUACCAUACUCCCUCCGUCUCUGAAUACUGCUUUUUCUAGGAGAAAAUUUUGUCCACAUAUACUGCUAUUUCUACUAGCAUACUCGGUCCACCAGCCCAUUUAAUUUCUCCUCGGAACUUUCGUGGUCCACCAACCCAUUUAAUUUCUUCUAGUGAGUAGUACUUUGGUGCAUGUUAAUUGUUUGAGUCUGUUUAGUUGGCAUUAAAUGCAGCUCGUUGGAACCAGAGAACCAUGGCUUAACGUGCAUGAUUAAAUGGUGGAACCCAAAUUAAUUGAGGGUAGAAUGGUCUUCUGAAAUAUGCUAGAAAUAGCAGUAUUUGGGGAUGGAGGCAAUACUAAAUAUUAAUAUUUUUUUAAUAUAUUUAGUCAAGGUUAUUUCUUGAGAAGCGCAAACGAUAGAUAUUUAGGGACAUGGGAAGUAUGAUACGAAAUCAUCAUAAAAUAUAUUUUUUUGUAAUAGGCUUAUUUGGUGCCAUAGAGAUUUGUGCUUGUUUAUAAAUUUGAUCACCAUAAAGCUAGCUUUAUAAACUGAUAUUUAGAGACAAAGGGAGCAUUGCUAACGCUAAAUCCGGUCACACCUAGCAAGGGCAGGUUCACUCACAGCACGCGCCACCGAUAAACGUGGUGGAGGUAGUCGGUCGGGUUUCACCAGGAUGUCAUGCAUAUUUAUUAUAACGUAAUGUCACCAAAAUUGCACUUUUUGCAUGAAACAAAGAGGAGAGAGAAGGAAGUAGUUUCACCAAUCACCAUGGUGAAACUCCGCAGGCGUUGUUUCCCACGCGGUGAAAUGAGAUGAAAUCUCCACUGAGGGCUAAAUCGUUUCACCAUCUUGCAUGUGAUCUAAUCAUUUUGCAGUAAUUAAUGCUUUGCCCAGCCUAGGAAACGUCAAGGUAAAACUCAUGCAUUGUGGAGGUUGUUUCAUUAUUCGUUUUAUUGAUGUCUUGUCAGUGGAUUUGUUUUGGAAACAGUGCAUUGAAACGAGCCACUGAGAAUGGCCUAAACUAACAAGGCCGUCUAGAGGUCGGUGAGGCCAAUUUGACACCAUUUUUUUGUCAAGGCCUAGUUUAGAUUUAAAUUUUUUUUGGAUUUUAACACUAUAGCACUUUUGUUUGUAUUUAACAAUUAUUGUCCAACUAUGAACUAACUAGACUCAAAAGAUUUCUCUCGCACUUUCUAACCUAACUAUGAAUUAGUUAUUUUUUUAAUCUAUAUUUAGUGCUCCAUAUAUGUGCCGCAAGAUUCAUGUGACGGGAAAUCUUGAAAAGUUUUUGAAGACUUCCCCGUCACAUCGAAUCUUGCGGCACAUGCAUGAGCAUUAAAUAUAGAUAAAAAUAAAAAUUAAUUGCACAGUUUGUCUGUAAAUCACGAGACGAAUCUUUUAAGUCUAGUUACUCUAUGAUUAGACAAUAUUUGUCAAAUAAAAACGAAAGUACUAUAAUAUUGUCAAAAUUAAAAAAAAAGAUCUAAAUGAGGCCUAAAAACAUGAUGGGGAGCGAGGUCGUCACCAAUAAGAUAAGAUUCGCGCGUCAUUAUUGUAUUAUUAUAGUGUACUGUACUUCCACUUCCAUACUUCCCCUUCCAGUAGUACUCUCUCCUUAUACGAUUUAAAUGUCAUUUAGAACAUUGACAUGGUCUUCAAAACAUAACUCUAAUCUCUUAUUUUUAUAAAAAUAUUUAGGAACAAAUAAUAUAGGUAUACUUUUAUAAAAAUAUUUUUCAAGAUAAAUCUAUUUAUAUAAUUUUUACAUUUGCAAACUCAAAAAUUUAAAAGUUAUUGAUGAAUUUGACUCAAACUUUGUCUAAAACGAUAUCUAAAUCCUAUAUAUAGAAGAAGUACGUAGUAGCUUACCUGAAGAUAUCAUUGUUGUCAGGCGGAAAUAAUUAACGACCUAGCAGUGGGUCUUGAUUACGUGCUUAAUUUAUAAGCACAGACAAAAGACAACCGAUCAGAGCUAGCACAUGCACAUGCAAUCCAUCGUAGAUUGACGUGUUUGGCUAGGUUUUCCCCCCUAAUUUUGUCUUCAUACAUGAUCGAUAUAUAUAAAUAUAUAGGGUUUUUUUGAACGGUGCCAUUACAAUUUCAAAGUAUUUGAAAUAUGCCAUUAUAAUUCAGGUAUCCUGAAGCGGACCAUUACAAUUCUUGCAAAAUUUGAAAUAUGCCAUUGGAUACGGUAGAACGACGCUUGGGCCUGCUUGCAAGCCGACGUGGCAUACGGUCGACCGUAUGCGCCCGUCGCCGUGAGCCAUCUAAACGGCGCGGCAAAAAACGCCGUCUCCACCCCGCCCCUGACUCAUUCUCGCUCUCCACCUCUCUCUCUCUCUCUCGAGCGUAACCCUAGGCGCGGCGGCGGCGGCGAUUCCGGUGCCACGAUCCCGACGGCGGCGCAGCAGAUGAAGAUGGCCUCGAGCUCUUCCGCUGCUGGCAGUAGAAGGGUGCAGUGCCCCCUACUGAACUGCCCAGUGUGCAAUGUUCCUUUGAUCCGAAUCGUGAGCAAGCAAGAGCACUCAAAGGAUGUCGCAUUCAUCAAGUGCCCAAACAACGUAAAGGUAACGAUUUGCAUUGUUUAUGCCCUUGAAUGUGCUGCCUUUGUUUUCAAUUUGACUGGUGUUGCUUGCACAGGGUGAUCCAACAACUUGUGGCUGGAUUCGUUCGGAGGAGCAGUACGAGGCAUGGUUUAUGAAGCAAAAGGAGAAAGAGAUUCAGCUGCAGUUGCCCCUUCAUUCAGCAGUUGGGGAUCCUAAUGAUGAUUUGAAUCAACGGGUCAAGGAGAUGAAGCAAACUCUAGAUAGAGUUGUCAAUGAACUUGAGAAAAUGAAGGUGCAACUUGGAGACAGAGAUGUUGUUGCUGUUCCUAGUCAAGUUAGUAAUCAGAGUCCAGCACUGGACUUGGACAGGAAGGGGAAAAUGCAAAUUGUGUUGGAUGUAUCUGUUGUUGUAGGUGUCCUUGUGGGUGUACUGCUAGGUGUAGGUUUUUCUCAGAUGAUGAAGUGACUGUAAUUAUGUGUAUUUGCAAUGAAAGAACAAGCAUUUUGUCACUGAGUUUCUUCGAUGAGUAUGAUCAGCAUUGUCCUAUGCCUUUUGUCACUGAAAAUAGAUUAGAAUUUCAGCUUCAAAAUAGAUUAGGAUUUCUGCAGCAGUUUGUCUUGUUUUCUUAACAUUUUAAGUAGAGUUCACAUGAUAAUUGACACAAGACAGAAGAGUACAAACUAACAUAAGUAGAGUUCACAUGAUUGAAAAUAGUUGGCAAGUUCUAAUGCCUCAUUACAUAGUAGCAGCAUCAGCCAUACAAGUUCCAAGUUGGCAUUCUAAUGCCUCAUUACAUAGUAAGGUUCAGAACAAAGCCAUAUAAGUCGAGCAUCAUAGAUCAGCAUCCUGUGGAGCAUCAUAGAUCAGGUGCCUGAUGCUGCUGAUAACAGCCUUCCCAGGUGCAGCUGCUUCCCUCUGCAGCUUUGUUUUCUUUGGUGUCUUCUUCUUCUUCUUAGUUGUAACCUUCUUCAGAGGCUUGGUCUUCUUCACCUGGGAAGGUCCAGCAUCAUCCUGUGUUGGUACUUCCUGCGUUGGAGCUUCCUGUGAUGACACUUGCUGAGUCGGCCUCUUUCUGCGUUGAGAUGACAGUAGCCGGUUAGAUCUUAGUACAUAGGAAAAAAAUAAUAAAAUGGUUAGACAAUAUUUUUAAUACCUUUUUGAAGACCCUUGUCCUCUUUCUCCAUCUUCACCUAGUUCUGGCAACUUGCAGGUCUUGGAAAAAUGUCCAAAGUCACCACAUCUCUUGCACCUAACUUUCUUCUUCGUGGCCCUCUGCUCAAAAGUCCCUCUAAUUCUUACAACCCUUGGCCUUCCUGGACCUCUGCCUAGCAAUGAAGGAUACACUUUAAAACCAAGGUUGACAACAGGCCAUUCAUCGUUGUCUGGGAUAGGCUCAAUCCUAUCAGCAUAAGCUGCCUUAAAUCUAGCAACUGAAUAGUACUCAUGUACAUAAUCCUCAAUUCUCAUCCCUGGGAUUGACAGUAUCCAAGCCAAAGCAUGCUUACAUGGCUUUCCAGUCACUUGCCACUGCCUGCAGGAACAAUUGUGGUUUCCUAGGUCCACAGUGUGCCUCCUUUGCUUCUCCCACUCCAGGAUUGUAACUUCAGCAGUGUUAUCAUCACUGACUUUGACCUUGACUACAUUGAGUUGAGUACUGAUCAGGUUGAGAUCCUUCAUCACAUUUGGGAGGAUUCCAUCUUCCCACUGCCUAGCAACUUUCUUCCUCAAAUAUCUCUUCUCCAUUAUAAGCUCUCUAAUUCUGUCUACCAGUUCAUGUAAUAAUAAACCUUUGAGGUGCUUCACCUGUGCAUUGAAGCUUUAUGACACAUUGUUGGUCAAAUAAUCACACUUGCUACUUUCUGAGAACCCACACCUGUACCAUAUCCUGCUGUGGUAAUUCUCAAUAUAUUCUAUAGCUUGAGGAGCAUACUCAUGAAUCUGAUUCAUGUGCCACUGGAAUUUUUCUUGAGUGUAACUUCUAGCUGCAGGAUAAAGGUGGUCUGUGAAUACAUCACCAGAAUAGUGCUUCAGAAAGUUUUGGUACAUAUGUCUCAUGCAUUCCCUAUUCUCAGCUGUUGGAAAAGCUGUACCCACUGCAUUCUCCAGGCCUUUGCAUGCAUCUGUACAAACUACAAGAUUUGGGACAGGCCCAAUUGCUCUACUAAGAAGUUGCAAGAACCAUGUCCAAUUGUCUUCAUUUUCUAUGUCAAAAAUGUCAUAAGCUACAUGAUACAACCAAUUAUGUCCAUCUACACUGGUUGCUGAAGCUAGCUGACCUCUAUACUUUCCAUUCAAACAAGAUGCAUCUAUACCCAAAAAAGGCCUACAACCAGCCAAGAAUCCAUCUACACAAGGCUUUAGAGCAACAAACAUUCUUUUGAAUCUGUUCUUCUUACCAAUUUUGUCAACCUCUACCACUACAGUGCUACCAGGAGAUACCUUUUCAAUUUGAGCACCCCAAUUGAAUAGCAGUUGAAAACUUUCCUCAUAUUUACCAUGGAUUUGAUCCAAUGCGCACUGCAUACCUGACCAAGCCUUUGAAUACUUCAGCUUGAUGCCAUAAUCAUCUUCCAACUUCUCCCUGCACUCUUUUGCACGUUUUGUUGGAUGUUUUUUUAUCCAAUCUGCCAGCCUAUCUACACACCAGGACUGUGAUGCCAUCUUCCCUUCUACUAGUUUUUGACUUGCACAAUUAUAAUCUGCAGGCAGUACUUUGAUCUGUGCAUACGAAACAUGUCAGGUAAAAAAAAUAAAACUUGCACAAAGGAACUAGUGGAUAGACAGUUACCUGUAUUGUCUUUCUACCCUACAGCCUAGAUGCAUGUAUGCGCCAAGGACAUCCCUCGGAUUUGCACUUUGCAAUAAAUCUUGAUGGGUCUGUUUUGAUACCAGCUAACACAUAGCCUUUAGUAACGGAGAAAUGCCUGAUAGCUUUCCUGAAUGAAACAAUAUUAGGAAAUAACUCCCCCUUUACAAUCUUGGGAUGUUCUGGGUCAUGAAUGAUAUUGAUCUCUUCAGGGUCUGCAUCAGUGACCUCUGCCUCAACAGGAAAAGCAUCAGCAUCAGCAUUUUCAGCAUCAUGAGAAGCAUGUGGAGGUGAAUUACUAGGAGGCUGUGUUGGUGGUGUUGGCAUGUACAUGCCCUCAUCAUCACAACCCACAUACUCCUCAUCGUUAUCAAACAUAUCAGGUUCCCUAUCAGGCUCAAGUUGAGUCUCAACUUCAGCCUCUGGUGCAACAUCUGCCUCAAAUGUGGGUUGGUUAACAUAACUGUCAGUACUGGCUGGGUUGCCAGUGCUAGUGUCAGGAGGAAGAUCUAGUUCAUCAAAUUGAUCAAUAGUGGGAACAGACUGAUCAAAUACCCCUACGACAAUGUGGCAAUGCAUCUCCUCCUUAUACAUCUCAAACAUAUCAUUAAUCUGGAAUUGAUUUUCUAGCAUGACAUCUUGAGACAACCUUUUAUCAUAGAACCAAGCAACUGGGCACUGAGUAGUAGAGCAAUUGACAGCAUUGCGCAAGCUGGCCAUCAGUACAUCAAAUGAAAACGAGCCAAUCUCCACAUCCCACUUAAUUACAGAGCCCUUUGUGUAAGCUUUCCUACCCAAAGAGUCUCUCCAACAGAAUGCUUCCACUUUAAUUUCUAAAGAAAAUAGCGGAACCCUAGCAUCAACCAAAUCACAUCAAUAUCUAAUGCCAAUCAACAGAUUAAGACCUAAUGCACUCGUAUUCGUGCUCUGGAAGGACAAAACAUUACCUUUCGUUGCUAUCCCCCAUCCGCGGCGCCCUGCGCUGCGCCCUGCGCGGGGGCACGUCUGCCAUGGACAUGCGCCCCUAUUCCAUUGCCUCCCCCUGCGCCGCCGUCGGGAUCGUGGCACCGGAAUCGCCGCCGCCGCCGCCGCCGCCGCGCCUAGGGUUACGCUCGAGAGAGACAGAGAGGUGGAGAGCGAGAAUGAGUCAGGGGCGGGGUGGAGACGGCGUUUUUUGCCGCGCCGUUUAGAUGGCUCACGGCGACGGGCACAUACGGUCGACCGUAUGCCACGUCGGCUUGCAAGCAGGCCCAAGCGUCGUUCUACCGUAUCCAAUGGCAUAUUUCAAAUUUUGCAAGAAUUGUAAUGGUCCGCUUCAGGAUACCUGAAUUAUAAUGGCAUAUUUCAAAUACUUUGAAAUUGUAAUGGCACCGUUCAAAAAAACCCAAAUAUAUACUUCCUCUGUCCCUUUUAUUUGUCGUCAGUGGUAUGCGUAUUAUAAAUUUGACUCGAUUAGUAGAAAAUACAUAUAAUAUUUAUAUCUUUAAAUAAAUUUAUUAAAAAACGAGAUCUAAAGGUCUUUCCAACGAUAUUACUUGUGUACUAUAAAUAUUGUAUAUUGAGAGUUGGCCUGGAGCAGUUGACUGUAGGGAAAAAAAAUGAAUUGCAAAUUGCAUUGUCCUAGCUAGCGUCCAUCUUUGAUUAUCCUUGCACAGAAGGUAAAUGAAUUGCAAAUUGCAUGGUCCUAGCUAGCGUCAAUCUUUGAUUAUCCGUGCACAGGUGAGAGGAUUUUUUUUUAAAAGCCUCUAGUCUGAAUAUAGAUAUAGAAUCUGCACUACUAUCUACGCUUCUAGCAAAAUUCGAACUCGUGAACGGUGGCCUCCACAGCUGGAGCGCUCACCAACCGAGGUACGGCUCGGUCCCCAGAAGGUUUGAGGAGCCAUUUUUCCAUGCGACGCACAAGUAGUACGCCCAUGUGUCCACCUCAAUAAUUUGCCGGACACGUCCGCUAGGCCGCUGGGUUGCAUUGCAUCGCAUCGCAUUGCAUGCCGCGGCAAGAUCCACGUUCCCGCGUACUACACGGUUUGUUCGAGACAUCCACAUCCACAUCCACAUCCUACCCCACAACGCGAUGAACAGGAACAGACAUGGGUGCUUGGUCCCCAUCUGCAAAUGCUCUGUACGUAUACCAGCUCGGCAACGCGCGAACCACGUGGAACGUGAACAGUAAACCAAGAACAGAAAAAGUGACCGAGCAGCGUUGCACAGUAUCCGCACACUGCUGAAUAGUGUUGGCAACGUGUCAACAGUGUGAUGAAUUAUGCUUAACAGUGCUUUGGUGCGCUGAGAGAGCAAGGAUUUAGGCCUGGUUUAGAUGAUUUUUUUUCUUAAUCUUGACACCGUGACACUUGUGUUUGCAUUUGAUAAUUAUUGUUCAACUAUAAACUAACUAGACUUAAAAGAUCGGUCUCGCAAAUUAUAAGUAAAUUGUAUAAUUAUUUUUUUAUCUAUAUUUACUGUUCCAUAUAUAUGCUAUAGUAUUUGAUGGGAUAGAGAAACUUGAAUUUUUUUUUGAUUUUUGGUUGAAGUGAACAAUGCGUUGUACUGCUUCCUUUUUAACUAGAUAUAAAUAUUGUCCAAUCAUGAAUUAAUUAGGAUCAAAAGAUUCAUCUCGUGAUUUAUAGAUAAACUAUACAAUUAGUUUUUAUUUUUUUUAUAUUUAAUGCUUCAUGCAUAUACAAUAAGAUUUGAUAUGAUGGAAAAACUUUAAAAAAAUUGGUUUUAAGGUACUGAACAAGGCAAGAUUGACGUCACAUGGUGGUCCAACAGACGUGUAUCACGCCGUAUCGGCCUCGUUUAAUUUCAAAAAAAAUUAAAUUUUUUGUUGCAUCAAAUCUUUAGACAUAUAUAUAAAGCAUGAAAUACAAACGAAAAUAAAAACUAAUUAUGCAGUUUAUCUGUAAUUUGUGAGACGAAUUUUUUAAACCUAAUUUAUCCAUAAUUAAAUAAUAAUUAUUAAAUACAAACAAAAUACUACCCUAGCCAAAACCAAUAAUUUUUACGAACUUGUUUCUUUUAGCAAGGCACACUAUAUCGAUCUACCUAUCAGCCGGGGACCGGGGUGUCUUGGCAUUGCCUAUUUGGAUCUUGUGGCAUCGCAUAUUUUUGCAGGCUUUUUAUUUGCAAACAGACACUUAAAUCGGGGGUAAUAUGAAAGUACAACAACAUCACCUUGCAUUGCAUUAUUGGCGGGGUUUUCUUAGGCUCGCCAUCAACAUUAUUAGGAUCAAGGGUUAUCAUCACACUUCAUGAAUUUUUUAUACCCCGAUGCUUUGAACUCAUCUGGACACGCUUCCAAGUUUUCGCACUCUCAUCGAGAUCGACGGUACAAUUAUCAUGUCAUGCAUCUAAAGCCAAAGGCCGUACUCUCAUUGAGGUAGACGGCAACAUUAUCAUGUGACAUGCAUCUAAAGCCAAAGGACAAAUGAUGAGUAUGUAUGUCGCACGAGGUUCAUGCAUGGGAGCAUCUUCUUUAUGAGAGGCAAAGACGUUCAUGCAUGGUAUCCAAUCGUCUUGUCACGGCUAAGGCCGUGUUUAUAUUGAAGAUGAAAAUUUUUUGGGUGUCACAUUAUCGGAAGAAUGUCGAGAGAGGUUUUUAGAUACUAAUAAAAAAACAAAUUACAUAGCUCGUCAGGAAACUGCAAGACAAAUCUAUUAAUUAUGUAUAAUUAAUCUGUCAUUAGCACAUGUGGGUUACUGUAGCACUUAACGCUAAUCAUGGAGUAACUAGGCUUAAAAGAUUCGUCUCACGAUUUUCAACCAAACUGUGUAAUUAGUUUAUUUUUUAUGUACAUUUAAUGUUUCAUGCAUGUGUCCAAAGAUUCGAUAGGAUGGAUGAAAAAUUUUUGAGCAGUGAACUAAAUAGGGCCUAAAAAAAGUUUUACUACAGCAACUCUAAGAGACUGGAGUAUUUAUGUUUUUCUUAAUUUAUAGGAGUACUCUCUCCGUCCACAAAUAAGUGUACGUUUCGUUCUCGAAGAGUUAAACUUUUUUAAGUUUGACCAAAUAUAUACAAAAACAAACUAAUAUUUUAUUAUAUAUAAUAUGUAUCAACAGAUUGAGCGUGAAAUAUACUUUCAUAAUAUACUUAUUUGUAGAUACAACUAUUGAUAUUAUUUGAUAUAUUUCUAGUCAAACUUUAAAAAGUUUGACAUCUCGAGAAGCGAGAUGUGUAUUUAUUUGUGAACGGAGGAAGUAGAAAUUUUGGUCAAAAAAAUAUCCUUCAAUAACCUAUAUAAUUAGAUCUCCAAAUAGAGACAAUCUCUUUUCCGAAAUUCUCGCUAGCCAAAGAUAAAGAGUAAGGAUAACUCAGAGUGUGCACAAUAUAUAGAAAAGUUAUUGGAGGCCAGGUACAGAGAUAUAUAGAAAAUAAUUUUUACUUAAAUGGCUCUUUAAAUAAUAAUUUAGAAAGUAAUUUUUACAAAUACUCUUGGAGAUACUCUCAGAGGCAGCUAGAUUGGAUUUACACUGCUUUGCCUGACUGUAUUUGUAUGUUUCUAAAAAUCAGCAAUUUCUAUCUCUGGAAAUCGAUUUGUACAAGAAAGGCAAAACCCGCUGCCCCUAGAGAUCAAAAUAUAGAGGCAAAUUGUUGGAUGAAAUCCUAACCGCCCCUAGAGAUUGGAAUCUAGAGGCCGGCAUGCGAAUGCAUGGGAUCAAACUCAAGACCUUAAGCUUUCUUCCUUAUCACUCCACCCCCAAAGUUAUUUCACUUGUGAUCUAAUGAUUGAUCCAUGUUUUUAUUCACUUUAGUGAGUAUUAUAAUUAAUAUUUUAGAGACCAUAAAUGAAAUCGAAAAAGUUUGAACCCAAAAGUUUUAGAUCUCGUGAAGUACUACAACUUUGCUUUAGGUCAUCUUUUUAUCGAAGUCGUUUGAAAAAAUAAAGAAUAUGAAUUUAAAAAUUAAAACAAAAUUUACAUAUCCUAAACAAUUUGAAAUGGAAAAAGUCAUCAAUUAAUAAAGUUUUCUUUACCUGACUUGAUUUGGAAAAAUUAUGAAUUCUAUUGUGUUGUACUAGUUUUUAGAGGCAGACUAAAUUGCCAACCUUCUCUAGAAAUCCAAUUCUAGAGACAGGUGGAAUUUUCAGCCAUCUAGAAAUGACUAAAUUUUUAAAGAAUGUGUCUAGAAAGCUCAAUUGCCUCUAAAAAUGGUCAUUUGAGGUGGUUGGAGUCCAACCACUUGUAACAAUUGAUUUUUAGGGAGACGGAUUGGCUCAAAAACUAUUUUUCAACAUGGUUCUUAAUAAUCUCCAACUAACAAGAAAGGGGCCUUCAAAAACAAUUUCUACAGUAGCGCGUCCACCUUCAACUGCUAAUAAGAAAUUAGACAUCCGACGUGUUUACGAAGAAGAUAAGAUUCGCGCGUCAUAUUACAUUAUUGGUACAGCAUUAUCUUACUGUUACGUACUCAUCUCGCCAAAUAAUUAACGAGUAGUGGCUCACGUUUGAAAGAUCUUCAGUCUUCAGUUCAGAUGGUCAGGCGGAAAAUAUUGACGGCCAAGCCCAAAGGGUCUUGAUUACGUGUUCAAUCCAGCGUUUAGACAAACGCAAUCCUAGCUAGUGCAGCACGUCGAUCUGUGGCGCGGCGUCCGGCCAGUGGUUUUUAUAUAUAUCGAAUCUCGUCUUCCAUCCCUAAAUCAACUGAUGCUAUGAUGGAUUGAUUGACGACUUGACUUGCAGGAAAAAAUGAACUGAUUGUCCUAGAGCUAGCGCCAAACUUUGGAUAGAUUCUCUGUUUUGCACGGUAGGUGAGGAACUGGACUGGACGUGCUUAUUGCCAUUUUUCCAAUGCGACGCACGAGUUCUGUGCUGUGCUGGGACGUACGCCCAAGUCUUUAUCUCCACACACGUACUCUGGACACGUCCAUUAGUGGUUGCUGCCAUGCAUGCAUGCAUGUCGCGGCAAGAUCCACGUUCCCGUGUGUACGAUCGUUCGAAAUGUUCCACGUCCUAGGCCUACCGCGAUGAAUGGGAAAUGUAGGGGCAACCCGAGAGACACAUGGGUGCCAUAUAUGCCCUUUUUUUUUAAUGAAACUGGAGGGGCCAAAGCCCCUACAGGUCUUUAUUGAAGAUAAUAAACAGAGGGUACAGAGUUAACCAAAAAAAACACAACGAAAAACUGAAAAGAAAACUGAAACUAAAAAAAGAGAGUUAAAAGACAAAGAAAGAAGCCAUAUAUGCCCAUUCGGUCUCGUCUGGGUCUCUGGGAUGUGUAUUUGGUUAAACCGAGAACUGAUCGGUGUGGUUUCUCAGUAUAUAUAUUUUGUUUGUAAUAUGAUUCGAUUAACCAAAAAUGAAGUCCGCCUUAAAUUUGUGUGCAUAAAGCAUUUGGAGACUGAUCGGUGAGGUAGUACCGAUGAACGCACCAAAAGAUCGAUCAACACAAAUCAGAAAAAAAAUUUAAGCACAAAAUUGGCAGGGAUCCACAAAAAUUACAUUAAAGAUCAAUACUAAUAAUUUGUGCACAAAUCAAUAUAGAUUUGUAUGAUUGAGUUUGUGUGUGGUUCAGCUUCUGAAAAGCGUUUCUACUACCAAAAAGCAGAAACCCAACCAAAUAGGUGGAACUAGAAGUUGGUUUUACAAAAGCAGAAUCCAUUUGUGUAGUAUAACUUUCGCAGCACCUUAGACCCUGUUUUUGGCUUUUGGCCUUUUGCUUUUCAAAAUGGUGGAAAUAGAAAGAUAUUUCAUGGUUGUUUCAAGGGAUAGAAAGAGAGGGUAAGUUUAAUAGUUGUUUUAACCAAACAUCUGAUCGCCACAAAGCUGACAACUUUUUCAUAACUCAUAGCUCACAAUAGUUUUUCCACAACUCACGGCUGAACCAAACAUAGCAAAGUCAAAGAAGAGGUUAGCCGCGACUGCCCUUGCCCCUUGCGACAGCCAUGGUUGUUUCUAAACCAUAAAUUACAAAACAUAUUUAAAUAACCAUAAAUUAUGUAUAAAUAGAUGUUUUUGAACCACACACCUAUCCUAUCCUAUCCUAUCCUAUACUCUUAUAAAGGAAAACUCCACUACCAUAUUUCUCUAUGAUUUUAUAAAGCCACGUCAUCAUGGGGGCCCUACCAAUUUUCUUAAGCCAUAUCACCCGAUGGCCACCACCCUCUUAUUCUUAUCCCAGUACUCACGCAAAGGCUUUAGCAAGCCUGCACGAGGCCAACAAUCAUUUGCCUCCUCUAUUCCUUCAGAACACGAAGUGGACAGGCAUUACAACAAUCGAGUCAUGUCCACUGAAUGUAGCAUGCACCCCUACAUCUUCCCUGCCAUCACUGCUCAUCUGUUAAGUGAUCGUAUAUACAAUUAACCCCAAGUAAGGACGAGUCCUCGCCAAACUUACCACCACUUCCUCCCAGUUCGAUUCAGAUCUUGAUAGCUUCAAUUGGUUCUCUCCUGUGGCAUCGGCAAUCAUCCCGCGCGGACGUCCUCUGGAUGCCGCGGUCAGUGCUGAUGCAGAGGUAGCCGGGGAAUUCACCAUUGCAUCAUGCGGCCAUGGAGGAGCAGUCCCGCCCAUCCACCUCCGUGCAGUGUGAUGCCCGAGAUGGCCACGAUGGAGGCACGUCGAGGUGCUCCAACUCAGAGGUGUGCAUGCUAUUGCACUCAGUGACUGCCUGUAACCUCUCGCGCUGACCGGCGCUGAUGCGCGCAAUGCUCCUGCAGGCCGCCACUGCUGCCGUUCUUGCCUGUGUCCUCCAUGCACCGCCCACAGGUGCAGCCCACUCAUCUCUGUGCUGUGUAUUAACUCGCAAUAUAUACUCUCAUCCACACGUUAGUGACCCUGUUCUCUUUUGAUGAAGUUAAAGAUUGAAGAUCAGAGUGGUGCCUCUCUGCUGUUUUGCGAGCUAGAGUGAUGCCUUUUAUUUAGUUCAUUUACGAUGGACUACUGAUGCAUAUUUAAAUCAAAUAUUAGUAGUCAUGGUACAAAUAUAUCCCCCUUGGUCCGACAUUUAAUUUAAGUUCAUAUAGUUUUUUGUCUUUAGUCACCGCUGACAAAUUUUUUAUAAAUUUGUUCUCUACUUAUAUCGCAUAAUAUAAUUAUUUAUAUACCAUCGCAAUUCCUUACACUUUAUUUCUCCUAACUCAAUUCAAAUAACUUUUGCAUUUCCGCAGCAACACGCAGGAGAGUUCACCUAGUAUUAAUAUGUUAAAAACUAACUAAGAAGACGAUGAUAUUCCUAGUGCUUGAUAUUCAUUUGGAGUAAGUAAUGAUUAUAAGGCUCAAAUUACUCCAUCCUAGAUUCACUGUAAGCUUUAUCACGAUCUUGACCAACAUGGUACAUGUUUCGAUGACCUUGAUGCCAUGGUACUAUUUAAGAGCACAUGGUCUAGAGCCUAAAAUCUUUUAAUUUUAUAGAAUACAAAAAAGAGAGUUAAUAAAAAAAAUAUACUUAUCACAAAUGUUUUAACUUAAUUCAUCAUAAAAUUUUUUUGAUCCCGUACAACUUAGAUGCACACAACCCACACACUCACAACACAUGGGUACUCUGCUUUUUAUGGAAAAAAAAAUCAGGAAGCACUCUAGCCUCCAGUGUCGAAUGUGCAUGUACCCUACUCUUUAUGGAAAAAAAAUCUAGAAAAUAGAUAUGAACACCAGGGUUUAAACCCUGAUGGGUGUGUCUCACUGGACUGCCCUUACACUAGACCAUAGGCCCAUUCACAUUCGGAUAAAAAUUUGUAGUAAAUAGUAAUAAGAAAAAUAAAAAUGGAUAUCCAUGAUGCUAUGAGAUAUGGAUUGUAACAUGAGCCACCAUAAUUUAAUAUAAGAUUUGAACAAAAUGCACACCGAAGAUACAAGCAAGUGCCAGCAGAGAGAAAAAAAACUACGAAUUUAGAUGAAAAAUAUAAACAAAGAUAAAAGUGUACUCCCUCCGUACCCAUAAAACAAGUCAUUUUGGAUAAGGUUUGGGUCAAACAUUGGGAACGUAAAUCAUAAAUAACUUUUAAGUUAUUGAGUUUGAAAAUAUGAAAACCAUAUGAAUAGAUUUGUCUUCAAAAAUACUUUCAAAAAAUAUAUCUAUACCACUUUUUGAUAAAUAUUUUUAUAAAAACAAGAAGUUAAAGUUAGACUUUGGAGACCGUGUCAUUGUUCAAAACGACUUGUUUUAUGGGUAUGAAGAGAGUAUAUAUUAACGUAAGUAUUUUUAGUUAUAUAUAUUAAACAUGAAUAUAUAUCUAAUGCUUAUGUUAUGACUCAUAAGAUUUAAGUCUGUACUUGUGCACGAGUUGGUAGACUAGAGGGUCCUGAGUUGAUUUUAGGUUCUGCUCCAUUCAAAAAAUAUAAGUUGUUUUGACUUUUAUUGGUUUUGUUUUAUAUUUAGACUUAUGCUGUGUCUAAUGCAUUGUGAACUAUAUGUAUUACUAAAGAAGCCAAAAUAGCUUGUAGUUUACUAUGGAAUAAUUAGCCAAAGUUUUUUUCCACCCACACCAAACCUUGCAAUGGAUACACCAUGUGACCAGGAUACUCGCUUCAUUAUUGGGAAACCAAAAGGAAAUAUUACAAGCAUCCAUGAUAAGGGCUUAUUUAGUUGGGGAGAGAAAAGUUUUUGGAUGUCACAUCGGAUGUUUCGUGGGGUAUCGGAAGGGAUAUUCGGAUACUAAUAAAAAAAUUAAUUAUAUAACUUAUCUGGAAACUGCAAGAUGAAUUUAUUAAGUCUAAUUAAUUCAUCAUUAGGCUAAUCUUGGUCUAACUAGGUUUAAAAGAUUCGUCUCGCGAUUUCCAACCAAACUGUAUAAUUAGUUUAUUUCUAUCUAUAUUUAAUAUGUGUCCAAAUAUUUGAUGGGAUGCAUAAAUUUUUUUGAGUAAAGUCCACCACCGGUCCUUAAACUUGUGCUGUCGUGUCAUCCCGGUCCCUAAACUCACAAAUCGAUUGUUUAGGUCCUCAAACUUGUUCAUCUGUGUCAUCUCGGUCCCUAAACUUGUUCAAUUGUGUCAUCCCGGUCCCUAAACUUAGAAAUCAUCCGUUUAGAUCCUCAAAGUUGUUCAGUUGUGUCAUCUCGGUCCCUAAGCUUGGUUUUGAAUCUCAUCUGGGUCAAAACAAAGCGAUCUAACAACUCUAUAUCAAAAAAUAAUUCAUAACUUUUUCAUAUGAACUCAAAUGAAGACAAAUUUUAUACCAAAGUUAUAGUCCUCAGCACAAUCUACAACUUUGUAGUUGAAAAGUUUUUUGUUUGAAGUCGUUUAGUGUUAUAAAAUUUAAUUUUAAAUUUUAAAUUUUAAAAUCUAUAAACUUAUAAAAAAUAUUUUGGGAACUUAAACGAUUUUAAUUUAAAAACUUUUCAACUGCAAAGUUGUAGAUCAUGUUGCUGCCUACAAUUUUGAUAUAAAGUUUAUAUUCAUUUGAGUUCAUAUAAAAAAGUUAUGAAUUAUUUUUCAAUAUAGAGUUUUUAGAUUCGUCCUGUUUUGACCCAGAUAAGACUUAAAAACAAGUUUAGGGACCGGGAUGACACAACUGAACAAGUUUGAUGACCUAUAUGAGAGAUUUUUAAGUUUAGGGACCAGGAUGACACAACCGAACAAGUUUAGGUACCUAAACGGUCAUUUUGCAAGUUUAAGGACCGGGAUGACACAUCCGAACAAGUUUAGGGACCGCUGAUGGACUUUACUCAAUUUUUUUGAUGGAGAACUAAACAAGGCAUAAGUGGUAAUCGCCAGCACACCAAGGAGUAUGGCACAAUGUUCGUCGCGCACGUAAUUAUGAAUCUUUUAUUUAUUGCAACGCUUCUCAUUCAUGGAUAAAAUGAAACGGAUAACGUACGGGAAUCACCGCUAGCUAUUCCCUGCCUGCAUUCAGGUCAUCAUGCUCUGUCCUCAGGAAUCAGAGAUCAGAUGGAGAUGCUGUUGGGUAUGCCCUUGGCGGUGACGCCGGCGUUGUCGCCCUUCUUGUCGGAGGUGUUGGGGAAGAGCAGCGUGUAGGGGAACUGGGCCUCGCUGUAGCGGUUCUUGUAGCGUGGGUCCUUGUUCAUGGCCUCCACGCGUUUCUCGAUCUCGACCAGCCGCGCCCCGAACCGCCUGAACGCCUCCUGCGCCUUGGCGUCCGACGUCCACUCCUUGGUGUCGCGCUGGCCGAGGUACACCUCGUCGGAGGAGUGGCUGGACAGGAUCUCGAGCAGCGAGAUGCCGACGACGGCCUGGAACUGCGUGGUGAUGGAGCGCAAGAAGAACUUCUCCGGGUUCUCCUCCAGCUCCGCGUACUCGUCGGUGCCUGGCACCGGCAUCGGCCGCCGGCUCACCGACGGCCGGUUCGGGUGGUACCCGCAGUACGGGUACUGCCCGAAGUUGACGGCGGCGUGGAGCGCCGACGCGAUCCAGAUGAUGGUGGUGCAGGCCUUGACGAGCUCCGCCACCGUCUCCAUCUUGGGCCACCAUGGCUCGUCCUUGAGGUCGGCGUGCCCGACCUCGCGCGCCUCCUUCCACCAUGCCUGCAGCUCCACGUCCGCCUGCAGCACGCCGUCGUUGGGGUAGUAGAUGCCCAGGUACUCCGUCACCCACUGCUCGAUCGCGUGCCAGACGGCCAGCCCGUCAGACGCGUACGGGUAGUCCUCGAUCAGCAGCCGCACCUUGUACGGGCUCGACGGAUCUGGAACGGCCAUGCCUCUGCAUUGACAUUGCAGCAGGACAGGACGAUUGUUGAUUUAACUGUUACUCCGUAAUUAUUGUUAAUUGCUUCGUCGAUUACCGUUUGAUGAGGUCGUCGGGGAGGGCUUGGUCGGCGAAGUUCCAGGUGGCGUAGACUUUGGAGGUGAUCUCGAUGGCGUACUUGCGCGGGAAGACGGUCAUCUCGAAGAUGCCGCCGGCGUUGAUGAGCUUCUGUCGAGCGAGUGCGUUGAUGUUCAUGGUGUCGCGGUAGUGCGGCAGCAGCAGCCUGUGGACGGGGUGCGUCACGCUGAGCUGCCGGUUGGUGGCGAUCACGAAGGGCUCCAUGACGGCGUGCGUGUUGAGCCAGUGGCUGACGCCCUGGUGCCAGCAGUAGUCGUUCACGUUGACGUAGGCCUUGGCCAGGCGCCACACCCACGCCUCCGCGCCGGCGGCCGUCGGCGGCGCCGGCGUGUACACCGUGCUCUUCGCGGCGGUGACGUCCCGGACGAGCUCGGGGAGGCUCAUCUCGAUGGCCACCGGCGCGAGCGUGCCGUUGCCGCGCAGGAACAGGAGUGUCCGGGUGGCGUAGAUGAAGUUGUCGUCCAGGCUGUUGACCUCGAUCAGGAACGGCAUGUAGUGGUCGUGGUGGUCCAGGAUGUAGAGCCGGUUGCUGUCCAGCGCCUCCUGCACGGUGAGGCCCUCCAGGCUCCCCGCGAUGUGCGCCUCGGUGAUGGUGCUCGUCUGGUCGCCGUACUUGCUCGGAUCAAGGGUGCUUUUCGGAGGAAACUCCUGUUUGAUGAUCAUCCAAGACGCAGGAUAAUAAUGUUACUACUUGGUUGCCAUGACACUGAAAUCAAGCAAGACCGCCCAUGGUGUUUAAUUAGCUAGGCGCGCCUCCACAGUCCAUCCACUCACCGUCAGACGCCUGAUGAUCAGGGGGUUCACGCCGGCGAGUGUCUCCCUUGCGAACUCCUCGUCACUCAUCCAAGCUUUCUUGUCCUCUGCAUUAAUUUACAGGUAUGUAAGGGACAUUUUGCCCAAGCCAGAAAUUAACGAUGAUUCAUCAGCGAUCGAAUGCAAUUUAUUAAUUAAAACCUUUGAUGAUUUGGGGCAUGGGGAGUUUGAGGACGUAGUCGCCGCCGGCGGGCAUGAGGUCCUUGACCAUCUGAAGGGGGAACUGCUUGCGGAACUCCUCGAGCGCGGGGAUGUCGGGCAGCUUGAUCCCGCCCUCGUACAGCUGCAGGAUGUCCUUGAAGGAGUUGAACUCGAGGCCGAGGAAGUAGCCUUGGAGGAUGGGCACCAGGCCGUCGGCGAACGCCUUGAUGGUGUAGCCGUAGAAGUCGGAGUUCUUGAUGUGGCCGAACCGCUCGUCGCGCGGCACGUAGACGUCGCCGUCGACCAGCGUCAGCCUGCUCUCGCUGCUGGGGUCUGUCAGCGUCGGCUUCCGGCCCGUGCGGCCGCGGCGAGGGUAGGGGUGGUCCUUGGAGCCGCCGAGGACCGGGCGCGGGUUCCCGCCGUCGGGGUUGCCGAGGUCGUUGUAGACGUCGUAGCGGUAGACGCGGUCGUGCUCCUGGUAUGGCCCCUGCUGGUCGUCGCCCCUCAGGUUCCGGAGCUCGUCGUCGCGGUAGGGCUUCAGCGCCGCCGGCAUCUGGCUGGGCAGGUACGUCUGUUCGUGUGUAGAGGAUUCAUGUCAAGAGACAGGUAGCUGAAGCUCCUUGGUUUGCUGACGAACAUUGCAAUAAUGGGCGGCGCGGUACUCACGUCGUUGGAGAAGAAGACGCGGUUGUAGCGGUACUUGGACUGCGGGUAGAUCCAUGAGUUGGCGACGAAGACGACGGUGCCGUGGCCGGGGACGUCGUCGAGGGUGAUGGUCUUGAGGAAGAACUCGGAGGCGUGGUUGUUCUUGACGAUGAUGGCGCCUGGCACGCCGUGCUUCUCCACCUCCCAGUCGAAGGUGACGCCGAACUUGUUCUCGCCGGACAGCAGCGGCGGCGGUUGCAGCAGCCACUGCUCCAGGCUCGCCUCCGCGCCAACCUUCCCGCGGUUCCCGUUGUCUGCACGCGCCGGUCAGCGUCAGCGUACGUCAACGUGUAAAUGUACCCCUACCGUAGAUAUUAUUAGUAAUAGUAGUAUACUAUAAAAAGUAAUUAUGCGUUCUUUGUCUAAUAAGCUCUAGAUCCGGCCGGUUUGUACUAGAUUUAAAGUGGCUCGAUCAAUCGGUGUCGUUUUCGUCCAUGAUUGUGUCAAGAGCAUCCGUAGUUUUACUAGUUUUGUCGCUUUCUUUUUUUUUUUUCUGGAAACACGGCAUUGUUAUUAUUGACGCAUGUGCGAGAACAG
Molecule: long non-coding RNA, 31326 nt
Filed under: Sorghum bicolor (sorghum)
Lineage: Eukaryota; Viridiplantae; Streptophyta; Magnoliopsida; Poales; Poaceae
Description: long non-coding RNA (SBIC_LNC005819)
Source: RNAcentral